GAUGAACGCUGGCGGCGUGCUUAACACAUGCAAGUCGAACGAGAAUCUAUGGAUAGAGGAUUCGUCCAAUUGAAGUAGAGGAAAGUGGCGGACGGGUGAGUAACGCGUGGGUAACCUGCCUCGUACAGGGGGAUAACAGUUAGAAAUGACUGCUAAUACCGCAUAACCCGCUAAGGUCGCAUGACCUAGACGGAAAAGAUUUAUCGGUACGAGAUGGACCCGCGUCUGAUUAGCUAGUUGGUGAGGUAACGGCUCACCAAGGCGACGAUCAGUAGCCGGCCUGAGAGGGUGACCGGCCACAUUGGGACUGAGACACGGCCCAAACUCCUACGGGAGGCAGCAGUGGGGAAUAUUGCACAAUGGGGGAAACCCUGAUGCAGCAACGCCGCGUGAGUGAAGAAGUAUUUCGGUAUGUAAAGCUCUAUCAGCAGGGAAGAAAAUGACGGUACCUGACUAAGAAGCCCCGGCUAACUACGUG
Molecule: ribosomal RNA, 478 nt
Filed under: uncultured bacterium
Lineage: Bacteria
Description: bacterial SSU rRNA
Rfam family: Bacterial small subunit ribosomal RNA
Source: RNAcentral